This 752-nucleotide ribosomal RNA is filed under the name uncultured bacterium. RNAcentral describes it as "bacterial SSU rRNA". It matches the Rfam family "Bacterial small subunit ribosomal RNA", at positions 28 to 774 of the family's 1533-position model. The record is from RNAcentral.
GAUGAACGCUAGCGGCAGGCCUAAUACAUGCAAGUCGAACGGUAAGAUCCCCUUCGGGGGAUUGAGAGUGGCGGACGGGUGCGUAACGCGUAUGCAACCAACCCCCGACGGGCGGAUAGCCGGUGGAAACGCCGGAUAAGCCGCCAUGCGGCCGACGAGGGGCAUCCCUUGUCGGUCAAAGCGGAGACGCGGUGGGGGACGGGCAUGCGUCCCAUUAGAUAGUUGGCGGGGCGACGGCCCACCAAGUCGACGAUGGGUAGGGGAUCUGAGAGGACGGUCCCCCACACUGGUACUGAGACACGGACCAGACUCCUGCGGGAGGCAGCAGUAAGGGAUAUUGGUCAAUGGUCGGAAGACUGAACCAGCCAUGCCGCGUGAGGUAUGAAGGCCCUACGGGUCGUAAGCCUCUUUUACCCGGGGACAAGGGCGCCCACGCGAUGGGUGCUUGAGGGUACCGGGGGAAUAAGCGUCGGCUAACUCCGUGCCAGCAGCCGCGGUAAUACGGAGGACGCGAGCGUUAUCCGGAUUCAUUGGGUUUAAAGGGUGCGCAGGCGGCCUGUCAAGUCAGCGGUGAAAGCCCGGGGCCCAACCCCNGGAAGUGCCGUUGAUACUGUCGGGCUGGAAUGCGGUCGAGGCGGGCGGAACGUGGCGUGUAGCGGUGAAAUGCGUAGAUAUGCCACAGAACGCCGAUAGCGGAGGCAGCUCGCCAGGCCUGCAUUGACGCUCGGGCACGAAAGCGUGGGGAUCGAACA